UUCCACAUGGUGGAGGCUGAAGAGGAGAGUGCGAGGGAAAGAAGGAGUCAGAACCUCGCCUUGAACUUAGGUCUCUUGGAUGGCUCUGGGGCCCUGGACACCUGAGCUUUUUCACAGGCUUGCCAGCCUCCUGAGCCAUUCCCAGGCCUCUUCAUCCCCAACCUUUCCUGAGAUCCCCAACCCCCCUCCUUCGGCUCUCUCGGUCCGCUCCCAUUCUCAAAGAUUUCCCCCAAAUUCUUCUCUAAAUAUCUUUCGGUGUCCGCCCACGCCAAACUCCAGGCCUCUUCAAUGUCCAUCCAGAUGUUCUCAGUAACCUCAGUGCCCUCUGACUUUUUAAUCUUUUCUCUUUCCCCUAAGACCACCCAGGAAUUCCCUACCUCUAUUCAGGAUGCUACUGGUCCCCUCUGCCCUUGUCUGCUACACACACGCAGGUCUCAGGUCUUUUGUUGUUUCGUUUUGUUUUUUUCAUCACCCGGGAGAUGAGGAGACAGAGAGAGUAAAAGUACACCCACCACAAAAGUACUCACCUGAGUCUCCCAGCCUUCAAUUCUCACUCCAGUGGAAGAAGUCCAACUCACUUGAGUAGUCUUUUCUGGUGGGCGGUCAGGCUCCAGGACAUGGUCGUGUGUCUCCUAUUAAUAAACUAGACUGAACGGAUAAGAAACUCCCCAGUUUCUCAACCUCAGCCACUUCCUCCCUUCUCUUCAGUCCUACUCAUUUUGCUUCGGCUAGUGCAAUCUGGGCUUCUCUGGUGAAAAUCCCCUGCUACUUACAUCAAAGCUGUUUCGCUCCUUGCCAAAGACGAAGGUGUUUCUCUCCCCUCUUUGCAUAGCAGGACACCUACAAGUUCAUGGCCAAGAAUUGUCUGGACAGGGAGACAGGCCAUCAGAAGACCUGGGCCACUUUUCUAGGGGCCAAAGAGAAGACCAAGUUCCAGGAGCAAUUCUGGACGCCCCGGAAGCCUUGCGUUUGUCAGGAAGGAGCACUGCCUUUCUUCUCUCCAGGACUCAGAGACGGUUCAAAUCAGGGGGUCCCAUGUGAUACCCUAACACAUCUGAUAAAAGGAGCCAGGUGAAAAAAGAGAGAGACAGAGCAUGAACGGGGGAGGGGCAGAGAGAGAAGGAGACACAGAAUCGGAAACAGGCUCCAGGCUCCGAGCCAUCAGCCCAGAGCCUGACGCGGGGCUCGAACUCACGGACCGCGAGAUCGUGACCUGGCUGAAGUCGGACGCUUAACUGCGCCACCCAGGCGCCCCAUGAAUUCAGUUUUAAACCAG
Long non-coding RNA from Acinonyx jubatus (cheetah), 1276 nucleotides. RefSeq lists it as uncharacterized. NCBI's taxonomy places the organism in Eukaryota, Metazoa, Chordata, Mammalia, Carnivora, Felidae. The record is from RefSeq and is a predicted model, not a curated record. The transcript is spliced from 2 exons.